Molecule: long non-coding RNA, 1476 nt
Organism: Anneissia japonica
Lineage: Eukaryota; Metazoa; Echinodermata; Crinoidea; Comatulida; Comatulidae
Exons: 6
Source: RefSeq, a predicted model, not a curated record
GUUUCCUUUCCUUUUCAUCCUGUACACUGGGUAAAAUAAUGCAUAGAGUUUAGACUAUUAUUGAGGUAGUGGCUAGUAAUAGGCCUAAAGUUGAUCUGAACCAAAAUUCUGACCGCAAUUCCGAUGAGCUGAACACCAGCGUCCCCAUUCUUACACACUAAGCUACAUUUAAAGUACACUUCACACUAUAAAUUGGUUCAGUUCAUAAUCUCUGUGAAUGCAGUAGUAGAGUAUGUGUAUCAGGCAGUUUUCCUGAUGGCUAUCCAAUUAAAUGUGGUGUUCCUCCCCAGGGAUCAGUUGCAGGUUCGCAAAUUAAUGCCUAUUUAAAGCCGGUGACUCAUAUUUUUAAGCACUUUGGUGUUUUGUAUCAUAUCUAUGCUGAUGACACACAAUUGUACGUUAGUUAUCACUUAAAAGUACCUGGUGAAUGCUGGAAAAUAAGUUGAAGCUUAAGAAUCGCACUCCAAUGUACAGCUUCUUCAAAAACAUCAAAAUCGUGACGCAAGGCUGGUUUAUCGGCGCGCAAAAAAAAUUUGCCAUUGCUAUGAGAACUUUACCGGUUGCCAGUCCAGCAGAGAAUAGACUUUAAUACUGCAUGUGUACAAUAGUGUUCAUGUAAUAGGCCCAACAUAUUUUAUUCAAAAUAUGCUUAAAAAGUUUCUGCCUGGUCGUUUAGGUCUGAGGUCCUCUGAUGAUCCCCUACGACUUGUAGUUCCCAUUACAAAAAGAGAUUUUAGUGAAAGUGCUUUUUCUGUGAUUGGUCCAAAGUUAUGGAAUUAUUUCCCCUAUGAGAUCCGCCAAUCUUUUCUAAAGCAGUGGGGAAGGGUCACCUGACUAUUGACCUUCAACCUGAUGGUGAACGGACUCAAAAUGAGGUUGAAAGAAUGGAUGUGUGGGAUUAGGUCUGUGAAACACAAUUGAAGCCAUGGAAAUGUCUGAGCAGUGUCUCUUACUUCUGGUGAGUCCAUUAAUGAUGUUGAAGAAACAAACAGUGGUUUGGGAGACAAGGCCUGUAGCCAUUGUGUGAUGACAGGAUGUGUGGCCUGUAGAUCUGAAGAUUCUCUCCACAGCCAUGUAAUGCACAGUGACAGACAAAGCCCACCUGGCUAUUGACCUUUAACCUGAUGGUGAACUUACUCAAACUGAGUUGGUGGGAUAGAGUGAAACAGAAUUAUAAGCCAUGGAAACGUGCGGACAGCUGCAUGUACGUUACCUUGAAAUGCUCGGUACUCAACGUCAGUGAUGCAGACUGUGACCAUCAUUGGAAGAGCAGCAGUCCUGUAAUAAUCCAAAUGGGUAACACUUGGCUGGCUGGGGGUCAUGACCCCACUACAUAACUAAAAAGACAAAUCAAAUGAAGCUUAGUCACACACCGGGUUGGAAACAAUGUUUACAAGGGCACCCUCAGCCAUCAAAGUCUGUUACAGAAAGGUAAAUGUCAUUUAGUCUUUAUAAAUUGCACAGAUGGAAAUUUUA